AACGAACGCUGGCGGCAGGCUUAACACAUGCAAGUCGAGCGGGGCCUUCGGGGCCAGCGGCGGACGGGUUAGUAACGCGUGGGAACGUGCCUUCUGCUUCGGAAUAGCCCUGGGAAACCGGGGGUAAUACCGGAUGUGCCCCGAGGGGGAAAGAUUUACCGGCAGGAGAUCGGCCCGCGUUGGAUUAGGUAGUUGGUGGGGUAACGGCCCACCAAGCCGACGAUCCAUAGCUGGUUUGAGAGGAUGAUCAGCAACACUGGGACUGAGACACGGCCCAGACUCCUACGGGAGGCAGCAGUGGGGAAUCUUAGACAAUGGGGGCAACCCUGAUCUAGCCAUGCCGCGUGGGUGAUGAAGGCCUUAGGGUCGUAAAGCCCUUUCGCCGGGGAAGAUAAUGACGGUACCCGGUAAAGAAACCCCGGCUAACUCCGUGCCAGCCGCCGCCGUAAGAC
Molecule: ribosomal RNA, 452 nt
Filed under: uncultured bacterium
Lineage: Bacteria
Description: bacterial SSU rRNA
Rfam family: Bacterial small subunit ribosomal RNA
Source: RNAcentral